Molecule: ribosomal RNA, 436 nt
Filed under: uncultured bacterium
Lineage: Bacteria
Description: bacterial SSU rRNA
Rfam family: Bacterial small subunit ribosomal RNA
Source: RNAcentral
CAAUGGGCGCAAGCCUGAUGCAGCCAUGCCGCGUGUAUGGAAUAAGGGCCUUCGGGUUGUAAAGUACUUUCAGCAGUGAGGAAGGUGGGUAUGUUAAUAGCAUACUCAUUUGACGUUAGCUGCAGAAGAAGCACCGGCUAACUCCGUGCCAGCAGCCGCGGUAAUACGGAGGGUGCGAGCGUUAAUCGGAAUUACUGGGCGUAAAGCGCAUGCAGGUGGUUUGUUAAGUCAGAUGUGAAAGCCCGGGGCUCAACCUCGGAAUUGCAUUUGAAACUGGCAAACUAGAGUACUGUAGAGGGGGGUAGAAUUUCAGGUGUAGCGGUGAAAUGCGUAGAGAUCUGAAGGAAUACCGGUGGCGAAGGCGGCCCCCCUGGACAGAUACUGACACUCAGAUGCGAAAGCGUGGGGAGCAAACAGGAUUAGAUACCCCUGGUAG